Molecule: ribosomal RNA, 332 nt
Filed under: uncultured eukaryote
Lineage: Eukaryota
Description: partial 18S ribosomal RNA
Rfam family: Eukaryotic small subunit ribosomal RNA
Source: RNAcentral
CCCCUAGAUGUUCUGGGCUGCACCCGUGCUACACUGGCAGGUUCAGCGAGCUUCAUGCCCUGAUCUGAAAGGAAUGGGAAAUCUUUUCAAAACCUGCCGUGCUUGGGAUAGAUGUUUGCAAUUAUUCAUCUUCAACGAGGAUUGCCUUGUAAGCGCACGUCAUCAGCGUGCAUUGAAUACGACCCUGUAUUCUGUACACACCGCCCGUCGCUCCUACCGAUUGAAGUUUUCGGUGAGUUGACAGGAGGAUUUUUUUGAAACUGGUUCGCCAGUGGAUUUUAGAUCCAAAUGCCAACGAAUCGAUGGCUUUAGAGGAAGGAGAAGUCGUAACA